Molecule: long non-coding RNA, 370 nt
Organism: Gadus morhua (Atlantic cod)
Lineage: Eukaryota; Metazoa; Chordata; Actinopteri; Gadiformes; Gadidae
Exons: 2
Source: RefSeq, a predicted model, not a curated record
UAAAGUCACUCAGUCUAGACACGGACCGCAUAACGAAGGAUCUCCGCCAGGGACUUUGAGAAGAGAGCUGCAAGUCUUACGCCACUAAGAAGAUUCUGGAGUCUUGUUGAUUAAGUGGUUCUUAACAGUUCAACAGUUCAUUUCCAAAAUUGUGAAAUGUUUAGGACCACUUAACCAAUCAGACAAUUGCUUCGAGUAAUAGCUGGCGACCUGUGGUUUAGGAAAACCCCAUCGUCACAUGUCUGAGGCCUACGGACACGAGCACUUUUUACAUUGACUUGAAUUAUCUUCUGGAGCAGGCUGAGCAACUGCUACUGAGUUUGUAUUGGAUUGUAAAUUACUGGACCAACAAUAAAUCGACAAAGACUAA